UUCCUGGUGGUUCAGUGGUUAGGAUCCUGCACUCUCAUUGCCAAAGGCCUGGGUUCAAUCCCUGGUCAGGGAA
This 73-nucleotide transfer RNA is filed under the name Bos taurus (domestic cattle). It matches the Rfam family "tRNA". Rfam says of the family: Transfer RNA (tRNA) molecules are approximately 80 nucleotides in length. Their secondary structure includes four short double-helical elements and three loops (D, anti-codon, and T loops). RNAcentral also lists the same sequence under 2 other names. The record is from Rfam by way of RNAcentral. Lineage: Eukaryota; Metazoa; Chordata; Mammalia; Artiodactyla; Bovidae.